Molecule: ribosomal RNA, 254 nt
Filed under: uncultured bacterium
Lineage: Bacteria
Description: partial 16S ribosomal RNA
Rfam family: Bacterial small subunit ribosomal RNA
Source: RNAcentral
UACAGAGGCCCCAACAUUACCCGGAAUCACUGGGCGUAAAGGAUGUGUAGGCGGCGAUAUUAGUCUUUCGUAAAAGCUCUCGGACUCAAUCCGGGAAAUGCGGGAGAAACGGUAUGGCUGAGAGGACGCGAGAGGUACAGGGAACUCAUGGUGUAGGGGUGAAAUCCGUUGAUAUCAUGGGGAACACCAAAUGCGAAGGCACUGUACUGGCGCGCUCCUGACGCUGAAACAUGAAAGCGUGGGAAUCGAACGGG